AUUCUGCCCCGAGCUGCGAAGUGCGAAAGGAGCGGGAAUCCUCCUUCGGGGAGGGGUUUGCCGGGGCCGAAAGAGAGCGACUGCAGGAGCAUAAGGAUCAAGGAUCCCCGUGGUGAGCGGGCCACGCAGCAACAGGCGGCCCACUUCGCUCCCGGCACACAUCCAUUACCCCAUCGGCUCAUCCCGUUUGCGCUAGCUGCUUGCAUUGAAAAUUUAUGUCCUAAUAAGUGAUUUGUACCGCGCU
This 244-nucleotide unclassified non-coding RNA is filed under the name Bombus terrestris (buff-tailed bumblebee). RNAcentral describes it as "misc RNA ENSBTSG00005033360.1". The record is from RNAcentral. Lineage: Eukaryota; Metazoa; Arthropoda; Insecta; Hymenoptera; Apidae.